GGGAGACUGGGGGGGGUGCCUAAUACAUGCAAGUCGAACGCGUUGGCCCAAUUGAUUGAUGGUGCUUGCACCUGAUUGAUUUUGGUCGCCAACGAGUGGCGGACGGGUGAGUAACACGUAGGUAACCUGCCCAGAAGCGGGGGACAACAUUUGGAAACAGAUGCUAAUACCGCAUAACAGCGUUGUUCGCAUGAACAACGCUUAAAAGAUGGCUUCUCGCUAUCACUUCUGGAUGGACCUGCGGUGCAUUAGCUUGUUGGUGGGGUAACGGCCUACCAAGGCGAUGAUGCAUAGCCGAGUUGAGAGACUGAUCGGCCACAAUGGGACUGAGACACGGCCCAUACUCCUACGGGAGGCAGCAGUAGGGAAUCUUCCACAAUGGGCGCAAGCCUGAUGGAGCAACACCGCGUGAGUGAAGAAGGGUUUCGGCUCGUAAAGCUCUGUUGUUAAAGAAGAACACGUAUGAGAGUAACUGUUCAUACGUUGACGGUAUUUAACCAGAAAGUCACGGCUAACUACGUGCCAGCAGCCGCGGUAAUACGUAGGUGGCAAGCGUUAUCCGGAUUUAUUGGGCGUAAAGAGAGUGCAGGCGGUUUUCUAAGUCUGAUGUGAAAGCCUUCGGCUUAACCGGAGAAGUGCAUCGGAAACUGGAUAACUUGAGUGCAGAAGAGGGUAGUGGAACUCCAUGUGUAGCGGUGGAAUGCGUAGAUAUAUGGAAGAACACCAGUGGCGAAGGCGGCUACCUGGUCUGCAACUGACGCUGAGACUCGAAAGCAUGGGUAGCGAACAGGAUUAGAUACCCUGGUAGUCCAUGCCGUAAACGAUGAGUGCUAGGUGUUGGAGGGUUUCCGCCCUUCAGUGCCGGAGCUAACGCAUUAAGCACUCCGCCUGGGGAGUACGACCGCAAGGUUGAAACUCAAAGGAAUUGACGGGGGCCCGCACAAGCGGUGGAGCAUGUGGUUUAAUUCGAAGCUACGCGAAGAACCUUACCAGGUCUUGACAUCUUGCGCCAACCCUAGAGAUAGGGCGUUUCCUUCGGGAACGCAAUGACAGGUGGUGCAUGGUCGUCGUCAGCUCGUGUCGUGAGAUGUUGGGUUAAGUCCCGCAACGAGCGCAACCCUUGUUACUAGUUGCCAGCAUUAAGUUGGGCACUCUAGUGAGACUGCCGGUGACAAACCGGAGGAAGGUGGGGACGACGUCAGAUCAUCAUGCCCCUUAUGACCUGGGCUACACACGUGCUACAAUGGACGGUACAACGAGUCGCGAACUCGCGAGGGCAAGCAAAUCUCUUAAAACCGUUCUCAGUUCGGACUGCAGGCUGCAACUCGCCUGCACGAAGUCGGAAUCGCUAGUAAUCGCGGAUCAGCAUGCCGCGGUGAAUACGUUCCCGGGCCUUGUACACACCGCCCGUCACACCAUGAGAGUUUGUAACACCCAAAGUCGGUGGGGUAACCUUUUAGGAGCCAGCCGCUAAAGGUGACCAAA
RNAcentral lists this ribosomal RNA (1485 nucleotides) under Limosilactobacillus fermentum. RNAcentral's name for it is "bacterial SSU rRNA". It matches the Rfam family "Bacterial small subunit ribosomal RNA". The record is from RNAcentral. Lineage: Bacteria; Bacillati; Bacillota; Bacilli; Lactobacillales; Lactobacillaceae.